Molecule: ribosomal RNA, 2927 nt
Filed under: Staphylococcus aureus
Lineage: Bacteria; Bacillati; Bacillota; Bacilli; Caryophanales; Staphylococcaceae
Description: bacterial LSU rRNA
Rfam family: Bacterial large subunit ribosomal RNA
Source: RNAcentral
UUAAGUUAUUAAGGGCGCACGGUGGAUGCCUUGGCACUAGAAGCCGAUGAAGGACGUUACUAACGACGAUAUGCUUUGGGGAGCUGUAAGUAAGCUUUGAUCCAGAGAUUUCCGAAUGGGGAAACCCAGCAUGAGUUAUGUCAUGUUAUCGAUAUGUGAAUACAUAGCAUAUCAGAAGGCACACCCGGAGAACUGAAACAUCUUAGUACCCGGAGGAAGAGAAAGAAAAUUCGAUUCCCUUAGUAGCGGCGAGCGAAACGGGAAGAGCCCAAACCAACAAGCUUGCUUGUUGGGGUUGUAGGACACUCUGUACGGAGUUACAAAGGACGACAUUAGACGAAUCAUCUGGAAAGAUGAAUCAAAGAAGGUAAUAAUCCUGUAGUCGAAAAUGUUGUCUCUCUUGAGUGGAUCCUGAGUACGACGGAGCACGUGAAAUUCCGUCGGAAUCUGGGAGGACCAUCUCCUAAGGCUAAAUACUCUCUAGUGACCGAUAGUGAACCAGUACCGUGAGGGAAAGGUGAAAAGCACCCCGGAAGGGGAGUGAAAUAGAACCUGAAACCGUGUGCUUACAAGUAGUCAGAGCCCGUUAAUGGGUGAUGGCGUGCCUUUUGUAGAAUGAACCGGCGAGUUACGAUUUGAUGCAAGGUUAAGCAGUAAAUGUGGAGCCGUAGCGAAAGCGAGUCUGAAUAGGGCGUUUAGUAUUUGGUCGUAGACCCGAAACCAGGUGAUCUACCCUUGGUCAGGUUGAAGUUCAGGUAACACUGAAUGGAGGACCGAACCGACUUACGUUGAAAAGUGAGCGGAUGAACUGAGGGUAGCGGAGAAAUUCCAAUCGAACCUGGAGAUAGCUGGUUCUCUCCGAAAUAGCUUUAGGGCUAGCCUCAAGUGAUGAUUAUUGGAGGUAGAGCACUGUUUGGACGAGGGGCCCCUCUCGGGUUACCGAAUUCAGACAAACUCCGAAUGCCAAUUAAUUUAACUUGGGAGUCAGAACAUGGGUGAUAAGGUCCGUGUUCGAAAGGGAAACAGCCCAGACCACCAGCUAAGGUCCCAAAAUAUAUGUUAAGUGGAAAAGGAUGUGGCGUUGCCCAGACAACUAGGAUGUUGGCUUAGAAGCAGCCAUCAUUUAAAGAGUGCGUAAUAGCUCACUAGUCGAGUGACACUGCGCCGAAAAUGUACCGGGGCUAAACAUAUUACCGAAGCUGUGGAUUGUCCUUUGGACAAUGGUAGGAGAGCGUUCUAAGGGCGUUGAAGCAUGAUCGUAAGGACAUGUGGAGCGCUUAGAAGUGAGAAUGCCGGUGUGAGUAGCGAAAGACGGGUGAGAAUCCCGUCCACCGAUUGACUAAGGUUUCCAGAGGAAGGCUCGUCCGCUCUGGGUUAGUCGGGUCCUAAGCUGAGGCCGACAGGCGUAGGCGAUGGAUAACAGGUUGAUAUUCCUGUACCACCUAUAAUCGUUUUAAUCGAUGGGGGGACGCAGUAGGAUAGGCGAAGCGUGCGAUUGGAUUGCACGUCUAAGCAGUAAGGCUGAGUAUUAGGCAAAUCCGGUACUCGUUAAGGCUGAGCUGUGAUGGGGAGAAGACAUUGNNNNNNNGUCUUCGAGUCGUUGAUUUCACACUGCCGAGAAAAGCCUCUAGAUAGAAAAUAGGUGCCCGUACCGCAAACCGACACAGGUAGUCAAGAUGAGAAUUCUAAGGUGAGCGAGCGAACUCUCGUUAAGGAACUCGGCAAAAUGACCCCGUAACUUCGGGAGAAGGGGUGCUCUUUAGGGUUAACGCCCAGAAGAGCCGCAGUGAAUAGGCCCAAGCGACUGUUUAUCAAAAACACAGGUCUCUGCUAAACCGUAAGGUGAUGUAUAGGGGCUGACGCCUGCCCGGUGCUGGAAGGUUAAGAGGAGUGGUUAGCUUCUGCGAAGCUACGAAUCGAAGCCCCAGUAAACGGCGGCCGUAACUAUAACGGUCCUAAGGUAGCGAAAUUCCUUGUCGGGUAAGUUCCGACCCGCACGAAAGGCGUAACGAUUUGGGCACUGUCUCAACGAGAGACUCGGUGAAAUCAUAGUACCUGUGAAGAUGCAGGUUACCCGCGACAGGACGGAAAGACCCCGUGGAGCUUUACUGUAGCCUGAUAUUGAAAUUCGGCACAGCUUGUACAGGAUAGGUAGGAGCCUUUGAAACGUGAGCGCUAGCUUACGUGGAGGCGCUGGUGGGAUACUACCCUAGCUGUGUUGGCUUUCUAACCCGCACCACUUAUCGUGGUGGGAGACAGUGUCAGGCGGGCAGUUUGACUGGGGCGGUCGCCUCCUAAAAGGUAACGGAGGCGCUCAAAGGUUCCCUCAGAAUGGUUGGAAAUCAUUCAUAGAGUGUAAAGGCAUAAGGGAGCUUGACUGCGAGACCUACAAGUCGAGCAGGGUCGAAAGACGGACUUAGUGAUCCGGUGGUUCCGCAUGGAAGGGCCAUCGCUCAACGGAUAAAAGCUACCCCGGGGAUAACAGGCUUAUCUCCCCCAAGAGUUCACAUCGACGGGGAGGUUUGGCACCUCGAUGUCGGCUCAUCGCAUCCUGGGGCUGUAGUCGGUCCCAAGGGUUGGGCUGUUCGCCCAUUAAAGCGGUACGCGAGCUGGGUUCAGAACGUCGUGAGACAGUUCGGUCCCUAUCCGUCGUGGGCGUAGGAAAUUUGAGAGGAGCUGUCCUUAGUACGAGAGGACCGGGAUGGACAUACCUCUGGUGUACCAGUUGUCGUGCCAACGGCAUAGCUGGGUAGCUAUGUGUGGACGGGAUAAGUGCUGAAAGCAUCUAAGCAUGAAGCCCCCCUCAAGAUGAGAUUUCCCAACUUCGGUUAUAAGAUCCCUCAAAGAUGAUGAGGUUAAUAGGUUCGAGGUGGAAGCAUGGUGACAUGUGGAGCUGACGAAUACUAAUCGAUCGAAGACUUAAUCAA